AACGAACGCUGGCGGCAUGCCUAACACAUGCAAGUCGAACGAGACCUUCGGGUCUAGUGGCGCACGGGUGCGUAACGCGUUGGAACCUGCCCUUAGGUUCGGAAUAACUCCCCGAAAGGGGUGCUAAUACCGGAUAAUGUCUUCGGACCAAAGAUUUAUCGCCUUUGGAUGGGCCCGCGUUGGAUUAGCUAGUUGGUAGGGUAAAAGCCUACCAAGGCGACGAUCCAUAGCUGGUCUGAGAGGAUGAUCAGCCACACUGGGACUGAGACACGGCCCAGACUCCUACGGGAGGCAGCAGUGGGGAAUAUUGGACAAUGGGCGAAAGCCUGAUCCAGCAAUGCCGCGUGAGUGAUGAAGGUCUUAGGGUUGUAAAGCUCUUUUACCCGGGAUGAUAAUGACAGUACCGGGAGAAUAAGCUCCGGCUAACUCCGUG
This 433-nucleotide ribosomal RNA is filed under the name uncultured bacterium. RNAcentral's name for it is "partial 16S ribosomal RNA". It matches the Rfam family "Bacterial small subunit ribosomal RNA", at positions 29 to 507 of the family's 1533-position model. The record is from RNAcentral.